Non-coding RNA from Salvelinus sp. IW2-2015, 124 nucleotides. The record is from RefSeq and is a predicted model, not a curated record. NCBI's taxonomy places the organism in Eukaryota, Metazoa, Chordata, Actinopteri, Salmoniformes, Salmonidae.
GUAGUAGGUUCGACCAGGUGCCAAGGUUCCUCUGUUUCCUCUGCUCAGUGGGAUGAGGUAGUAGGUCAGACCAGGUGCCAAGGUUCCUCUGUUUCCUCUGCUCAGUGGGAUGAGGUAGUAGGUC